GCUGGUUUCAUAUGGUGACUUAGA
This 24-nucleotide microRNA is filed under the name Xenopus laevis (African clawed frog). Its description in RNAcentral is "Xla-Mir-29-P1d3_5p (mature (guide))". Lineage: Eukaryota; Metazoa; Chordata; Amphibia; Anura; Pipidae. The record is from RNAcentral.